AUGGGGCCGAGGAUGUGCCUUCCGGGGUCUUCCGGAGCAGGGCCAGCCAAGAUGGCAGCGGAGGCGCUGGGCCGUCUCCAUCAGAGCCUGGGCACACGGGGUGACGGUGGGCGGAGGCAGCACCCGCACCCUCCCCGCAGGGUCCCUCUCCUUUUCAGGGGAGAAGGUGCGGGCACAAUCCCCAAGGGAAAAGCCGCCGCUCUGCCGGAGCCCCCAGAGCCCGCAGCUUCUCCCCCCAAUCGAUGGCCAGGGCUGAGGUCCACCCGAGGCAGCCAAGGCUCCUCCGGCCAGGUGCCCCCCGCCUCAGCGGAGAAAAGGCCCCAAGGAGGGGGGCCGAGCCCUUCCACGGCGACCCCCGACAGCUGUCAGAAAGCGGCUGGAAGACGCUCCCUGGAGGCCUCGGCUCUGACCGGGGAGGAGGCCGUCAGCACAGAACCCCUCAGGCCAUCGGCGAGGCUGCAGGGGAAGGGCUGGCGCCCAGAGGAGGGGCACCGGGCACGCCUUCGGAAGGGAGAGCCUAGAAACCAGGGCCAACGCCGGGCACUCCUGUCUGAGGACACACAGCCGGGGGAAGGAAGGCCCGAGGCCGAGGCGGCUCCUGGGAGCACAGCAGCAGCAGCGCCCCGUGCGCCUCCGCUCUGGGCCCGGCACGGCGCUGGGUACAGCUUCCCCUACAGCUCAGCGGCAGCCUCUGCUCUGGGCCUGGCACGGCACUGGGCACAGCUUCCCCUACAGCUCAGCGGCAGCCUCUGCUCUGGGCCUGGCACGGCACUGGGCACAGCUUCCCCUACAGCUCAGUGGCAGCCUCCGCACUGGGCACAGCUUCCCCUACAGCUCAGCGGCAGCCUCCGCGCUGGGCACAGCUUCCCCUACAGCUCAGCAGCAGCCUCCACUCUGGGCCCGGCACAGCGCUGGGCACAGCUUCCCCUACAGCUCAGCGGCAGCCUCUGCUCUGGGCACGGCGCUGGGCACAGCUUCUCCUACAGCUCAGCAGCAGCCUUCGCUCUGGGCCUGGCACGGCGCUGGGCACAGCUUCCCCUACAGCUCAGCGGCAGCCUCCGCGCUGGGCACAGCUUCCUCUACAGCUCAGCGGCAGCCUCCACUCUGGGCACAGCAUGGAGCUGGGCACAGCUUCCCCUACACCUCACGCUGUUUCUACACCAACCAGGCAGGCUCGGUGAGGAGGACGCGUCCUUCCGAGGGAGGCGACCCAGCCAGGCGCUGCUCCUGGAGGCCGAAGCUGUAGACGCAGCCCACGGCCAGGGGAGCCUCUGGGCCGCCUCCUCCGUCCCCUGA
RNAcentral lists this long non-coding RNA (1296 nucleotides) under Monodelphis domestica (gray short-tailed opossum). RNAcentral describes it as "lncRNA (ENSMODG00000037581.1)". Lineage: Eukaryota; Metazoa; Chordata; Mammalia; Didelphimorphia; Didelphidae. The record is from RNAcentral.